AGCUCACAGCUCGAGGAAGGCAUUUCUACAGCUUGUGCCUAAAACACAGCGCCUGGAGUAGUAGCUUGAAUGUUUCUGGACUCAAGGAAUCUCAGAAGUAGAUCGACAGGGGGGCAAGAUAGUUUCUCACUGCCUGUUCUAUCACCAUGAAUGGCAUUAUCUCAGUGUGGGCUACUGAACACUGGUGAUAUCUACGCAGAAUCCAGGAACUCAGUAAGUCGAGGAACAGGGGCCUCUCACUAGGGAAGACAGUAUCAAGUUUUAUACUUGUGGAAAUGGCCACAAUCCUAUUCAUCUUACAGCUAUGGAGGUCAGCCAUCCACAACAGCUUUCCUGGGUUUAACAUGAAGAGAAGUUUUGCUUCAAGUCGUUCGUGGAAACCUUCGUGGAAAGGUUGUUUGUAGCAAGCUCACUGCUCUCAGGGAUCCUGCUUUGAUGGAUUAUAAAUAGAGAAGGCAUAUAAUGGAACUACUGUCCCUGCAUGGACAAACGGGCCUGGUUUACAGGUGAGACAUUCAGAAGACAGGAGAGCAUCCCUGAGGGUACCUGGCACAGAGUAGGCAUUCAAGAAACACAGGUGGAAGGGAUUCUGAUAACCUUGCAAUGACUAUCAUGCCAGUGUAUGUCAAAAGAAUGUGCUGAUACUGGUAUUAUUACUUUGGUUAAUGCUAGUGUUCUUGGAAUUGUUAGAGGCAAGUCAAGAUUGUUAUUGUUCUUGUCUUCUACUUUCUUAGAAUUAAAAAAGACCUAUCCAUUGUCAUCAGAAUCUUUUCUCUGCGACAAACUUUCAAGUUAGGCAACUAACCAUUUUUCCAUUUCAGCCUCCAAAAGACUUAUUUAGUCUUGGAAUUAGUUUCCAGAAAUCAUUAAUUUGUCAGAGUAAGGCAAUUUAUAUCAUUUUUGAGAGAAGUAAAUGUCUUUUCUCCACGGCCAUGUCCUUUCUAUCUGUUUGCUUCUCAUGUCACUAGAUCAAGACAUUAGAGGUCUAUCCACUCAAGAAGCUCUCGGGAUACUUUAAGGACGUGUUAUGAAAACCAAGAAGGGUGGGGGCAAAAAAAGGAGAUGUAAAUAUAAAUUCUUUGAGGCAUCUCAUUUACUUCAAAAUUUUACUGUAGAUUUCAUAUUUGUGACAUAGUAUAGACAGAGAAAUAUGGAUAUUUGUCCACAGCCUUAUUGUUAUUUUAUAUUUACUGACCUCAAGAAGUAUAAUCUAUACAUUGAUUUUUUUUUAUCUUUAGAAUGUAAAAGUUUGAAAUUUUCAAAGAAGAAGUUACAUUAUUUAGUCACAAAAAAGUCACAUCAAUGUUUCAUCUUUAUCAAGCCUGAUGAAGGUCUAUUAUUCCAAUGACCUAUGGGGUACUGAGAAUUAAUGUACUGUAGUACAUGUGCUAUAAACCAGGCUUGGGAAGUAUAACUGUGUUAAAGAUUCACUCACUUAUCUCUAUAGUUCAACAAAUUUAGCCAUGUUGAUGAUCAUUUUAGUCAACGUUGUUACUAUUGAUGAACUAUGUAUUUGAAUCAUUGUUAAAUGUGCACAAUUUAUGUGCACUGCUAUCCAAUUUUAAGGUGACCAUACUUAUGCAACAAAUUAUUUCUUUUUGCUGUAUCUUCAGUUCUCAUCUGAACAAAAAGAUCUGCAUCUUCCUUAAUUUUUCAUUAAAUAUACUGACCCUAAACUAAAAUAAAAUGUUAUGCUUG
RNAcentral lists this long non-coding RNA (1698 nucleotides) under Mus caroli (Ryukyu mouse). RNAcentral describes it as "lncRNA (MGP_CAROLIEiJ_G0004463.1)". Lineage: Eukaryota; Metazoa; Chordata; Mammalia; Rodentia; Muridae. The record is from RNAcentral.